UACAGAGGGGGCAAGCGUUGUUCGGAAUUACUGGGCGUAAAGGGCGCGUAGGCGGCCUGUUAAGUCGAACGUGAAAUCCCCGGGCUCAACCCGGGAACUGCGUCCGAUACUGGCAGGCUUGAAUUCGGGAGAGGGAUGUGGAAUUCCAGGUGUAGCGGUGAAAUGCGUAGAUAUCUGGAGGAACACCGGUGGCGAAGGCGGCAUCCUGGACCGAGACUGACGCUGAGGCGCGAAAGCGUGGGGAGCAAACAGG
This 253-nucleotide ribosomal RNA is filed under the name uncultured bacterium. RNAcentral's name for it is "partial 16S ribosomal RNA". It matches the Rfam family "Bacterial small subunit ribosomal RNA", at positions 524 to 776 of the family's 1533-position model. The record is from RNAcentral.